This 1398-nucleotide small RNA is filed under the name Histoplasma ohiense. Its description in RNAcentral is "hypothetical lncRNA". Lineage: Eukaryota; Fungi; Ascomycota; Eurotiomycetes; Onygenales; Ajellomycetaceae. The record is from RNAcentral.
GGCGUGUUGGCCAGUGCCCAUUGAUGGCUGCGCUGAGACGGGAGGCCUGGUAUCCAGUUGCCGGAAUCUCUAUUGUCCCUUGAGUGGAAGAGUGAAAAUUUAAAACGGUCACAAAUUGUGAAUUUGCUCAACCAUGCGAUCCCUCAAAAACUCGUUCGAGGGCUAAGCCAUUUUAAUGCAGAGUUUCCACAGCGCGUCAUGCCAUUAUCAUUGGCGUCCGUUGGGAGAAAGCCUUUUUGGCAUAGCCAGAGACGGAGAAUUAAAUCCAACCGAAAAUAUGUUCGUGUGCCUGUUGUAAAACGUGGAGGACGGAACCUCUCGGAUGAGUCCAUAGCGGUGGCUCAAGGGAUCUAGCCAAGUUACCAGCAACCCAUGGAGUGGACAAUGAAAGCAGAACAACGGGAUCUUGAAGCUGAAUUACCAGGAUGCCUCGCCAUUUGGCUGCGCCGAAAUGCCGAACGAAUCAGAUAGUUUCUCAAAGCUGGACACACCAAACGAGCUUCUGUCACGGAUCUAUCUUAUCUAGCUCCCUCGACGGAUCGAAAAGCCUUGAUAUAUCAUAAUAUCAAUCUGGCGAAACACCACAUACCCCGCCAACCUGGAAUUGUUAUUUCUGCGGACUGCAUUGCAAAAGCCAGCAGGAUCGAUGGAUAGAGCGCCGAGGCUCAGAUGGAAAUAAACUUUACCAGUACUCCGUAUUUUGCGCUGAUAUGUCAAGGCUACAGGGGCAUGAGCUGAGUGACCACCACCAACUAGCAGCUAGCCCAAGAAGAGGGGACAAGCCACCAACCUAAUCCUUCCAACGUAUUGCUAGCCUCCGUAUUUCCAUCAUGGACAGUCAGGGCACCUUAGCGCACCUUAGCGCAGGAAAGGGUCUGAUGGCAGCGAGCUCGGCCGUGGCAAAUUUAGGCUGGGAGAAUCGCUGAACACCGCUGCACUCCGUUCGGAGUUACAGAGUCGAGAGAUGUGGUGUCUCGGAGAGCGAAGACAUACUGCGUAGUUCUUCCAUUUGUAUCCCAGGUUCAAUUGAUUGGAAAACUACCAAUAGCACAUGUACGGUACAUUGAAUUUCAGAAGAAAUCCAAUUUUAUAUUGAAAGGCGAGGGGGUGUGUGAGCUAAUCGUGGACACGGAUAUUCAAUUUUGGCAGCCCCUUUCAAUUGUAUGCCGCAUAUGUGAUUUGAUAGAGAAAAACUUGCACCAAGAGAAAAGCUUGGACCAACAGUUAAAAGUUCGUUCGGUGCUUAUGGCUUAAAUAGGCUACUGGGGAGCCAAAAUUGAAUCAAGGCCGUUAAGACGCUGGCUUGAUGAGGCACUCUUGAUCAGUCCGCUGUUGAAGGGUUGAGAUUACUUUCAGCGAGACCAGCCCCUUGGAGACUCGGCGAGAAAAUUACUCUAA